RNAcentral lists this ribosomal RNA (161 nucleotides) under uncultured bacterium. Its description in RNAcentral is "partial 16S ribosomal RNA". It matches the Rfam family "Bacterial small subunit ribosomal RNA", at positions 355 to 507 of the family's 1533-position model. The record is from RNAcentral.
UAAGGAAUAUGGUGCAAUGGAGCGCAAAGUCCUGAACCAGCCAUGCCGCGUGCGAUGAUGACAGGCCCUAUGGGUUGUAAACUGCUUUUGUCAGGGGAAUAACCCCCCGUACGUGUACGGGGCUGAAGGUACCUGAAGAAUAAGCAUCGGCUAACUCCGUG